GACGAACGCUGGCGGCGUGCUUAACACAUGCAAGUCGAACGGAAAGGCCCUGCUUGCAGGGUGCUCGAGUGGCGAACGGGUGAGUAACACGUGGGUGAUCUGCCCCUUACUUUGGGAUAAGCCUGGGAAACUGGGUCUAAUACUGGAUAGGACCAUGCUGUAGGUGGUGUGGUGGAAAGAUUAGUUUCGGUAAGGGAUGAGCUCGCGGCCUAUCAGCUUGUUGGUGGGGUAAUGGCCUACCAAGGCGUCGACGGGUAGCCGGCCUGAGAGGGUGGACGGCCACAUUGGGACUGAGAUACGGCCCAGACUCCUACGGGAGGCAGCAGUGGGGAAUAUUGCACAAUGGGCGCAAGCCUGAUGCAGCGACGCCGCGUGGGGGAUGACGGCCUUCGGGUUGUAAACUCCUUUCAGCCGUGACGAAGCCCUUGUGGUGACGGUAGUGGUAGAAGAAGCACCGGCUAACUACGUGCCAGCAGCCGCGGUAAUACGUAGGGUGCGAGCGUUGUCCGGAAUUACUGGGCGUAAAGAGCUCGUAGGUGGUCUGUCGCGUCAUUUGUGAAAGCCCGGGGCUUAACUCCGGGUUGGCAGGUGAUACGGGCAUGACUGGAGUACUGUAGGGGAGACUGGAAUUCCUGGUGUAGCGGUGAAAUGCGCAGAUAUCAGGAGGAACACCGGUGGCGAAGGCGGGUCUCUGGGCAGUAACUGACGCUGAGGAGCGAAAGCAUGGGUAGCGAACAGGAUUAGAUACCCUGGUAGUCCAUGCCGUAAACGGUGGGCGCUAGGUGUGGGUUUCCUUCCACGGGAUCCGUGCCGUAGCUAACGCAUUAAGCGCCCCGCCUGGGGAGUACGGCCGCAAGGCUAAAACUCAAAGGAAUUGACGGGGGCCCGCACAAGCGGCGGAGCAUGUGGAUUAAUUCGAUGCAACGCGAAGAACCUUACCUGGGCUUGACAUGCACUGGAUGCGGCCAGAGAUGGUUGUUCCCUUUGUGGCUGGUGUGCAGGUGGUGCAUGGUUGUCGUCAGCUCGUGUCGUGAGAUGUUGGGUUAAGUCCCGCAACGAGCGCAACCCUUGUCUCGUGUUGCCAGCAUUUGGUUGGGGACUCGCGGGAGACUGCCGGGGUUAACUCGGAGGAAGGUGGGGAUGACGUCAAAUCAUCAUGCCCCUUAUGUCCAGGGCUUCACACAUGCUACAAUGGCUGGUACAGAGAGUUGCGAUACCGUGAGGUGGGGCUAAUCCCGUAAAGCCAGUCUCAGUUCGGAUUGGAGUCUGCAACUCGACUCCAUGAAGUCGGAGUCGCUAGUAAUCGCAGAUCAGCAAUGCUGCGGUGAAUAAGUUCCCGGGCCU
RNAcentral lists this ribosomal RNA (1344 nucleotides) under uncultured bacterium. RNAcentral describes it as "bacterial SSU rRNA". It matches the Rfam family "Bacterial small subunit ribosomal RNA", at positions 28 to 1381 of the family's 1533-position model. The record is from RNAcentral.